This 93-nucleotide transfer RNA is filed under the name Deltaproteobacteria bacterium. RNAcentral describes it as "tRNA-Ser". It matches the Rfam family "tRNA". Rfam says of the family: Transfer RNA (tRNA) molecules are approximately 80 nucleotides in length. RNAcentral also lists the same sequence under 2 other names. Lineage: Bacteria; Pseudomonadati; Myxococcota; Myxococcia. The record is from RNAcentral.
GGAGAGAUGGCCGAGCUGGCUGAAGGCGCUCGCCUGCUAAGCGAGUGUGGGGAUUAUACCUCACCGAGGGUUCGAAUCCCUCUCUCUCCGCCA